RNAcentral lists this ribosomal RNA (253 nucleotides) under uncultured bacterium. Its description in RNAcentral is "partial 16S ribosomal RNA". It matches the Rfam family "Bacterial small subunit ribosomal RNA", at positions 524 to 776 of the family's 1533-position model. The record is from RNAcentral.
UACGUAGGGCGCAAGCGUUAUCCGGAAUUAUUGGGCGUAAAGAGCUCGUAGGCGGUUUGUCGCGUCUGCCGUGAAAGUCCGGGGCUCAACUCCGGAUCUGCGGUGGGUACGGGCAGACUAGAGUGAUGUAGGGGAGACUGGAAUUCCUGGUGUAGCGGUGAAAUGCGCAGAUAUCAGGAGGAACACCAAUUGCGAAGGCAGCUCGCUGGGACGUUACUGACGCUGAGGCGCGAAAGCCAGGGGAGCGAACGGG